Molecule: ribosomal RNA, 484 nt
Filed under: uncultured bacterium
Lineage: Bacteria
Description: partial 16S ribosomal RNA
Rfam family: Bacterial small subunit ribosomal RNA
Source: RNAcentral
AUUGAAUGCUGGCGGCAGGCCUAACACAUGCAAGUCGGGCGGAUGAAGGGAGCUUGCUCCUGGAUUCAGCGGCGGACGGGUGAGUAAUGCCUAGGAAUCUGCCUGGUAGUGGGGGAUAACGUCCGGAAACGGGCGCUAAUACCGCAUACGUCCUGAGGGAGAAAGUGGGGGAUCUUCGGACCUCACGCUAUCAGAUGAGCCUAGGUCGGAUUAGCUAGUUGGUGGGGUAAAGGCCUACCAAGGCGACGAUCCGUAACUGGUCUGAGAGGAUGAUCAGUCACACUGGAACUGAGACACGGUCCAGACUCCUACGGGAGGCAGCAGUGGGGAAUAUUGGACAAUGGGCGAAAGCCUGAUCCAGCCAUGCCGCGUGUGUGAAGAAGGUCUUCGGAUUGUAAAGCACUUUAAGUUGGGAGGAAGGGCAGUAAGUUAAUACCUUGCUGUUUUGACGUUACCAACAGAAUAAGCACCGGCUAACUUCGUG